RNAcentral lists this ribosomal RNA (119 nucleotides) under Pteropus alecto (black flying fox). The record is from RNAcentral. Lineage: Eukaryota; Metazoa; Chordata; Mammalia; Chiroptera; Pteropodidae.
GUCUAUGGCCAUGCUACCCUGAACAAGUCCAGUCCCGUCUGAUCUCGGAAGCUAAGCAAGGUCGAGCCUGGUUAGUACUUGGAUGGGAGACCACCUAGGAAGACCAGCUGGUGUAGGCA